GUAAGGAAUAUUGGACAAUGGACGCAAGUCUGAUCCAGCCAUGCCGCGUGAAGGAUUAAGGUCCUCUGGAUUGUAAACUUCUUUUAUAAGGGACGAAAAAAGGCUUUUCUAAGUCGUCUGACGGUACCUUAUGAAUAAGCACCGGCUAACUCCGUGCCAGCAGCCGCGGUAAUACGGAGGGUGCAAGCGUUAUCCGGAUUCACUGGGUUUAAAGGGUGCGUAGGCGGGCAGGUAAGUCAGUGGUGAAAUCCUAUAGCUUAACUCUAGAACUGCCAUUGAUACUAUCUGUCUUGAAUAUUGUGGAGGUAAGCGGAAUAUGUCAUGUAGCGGUGAAAUGCUUAGAUAUGACAUAGAACACCUAUUGUGAAGGCAGCUUACUACGCAUAUAUUGACGCUGAGGCACGAAAGCGUGGGGAUCAAACAGGAUUAGAUACCCGUGUAGUCC
RNAcentral lists this ribosomal RNA (445 nucleotides) under uncultured bacterium. RNAcentral describes it as "bacterial SSU rRNA". It matches the Rfam family "Bacterial small subunit ribosomal RNA", at positions 354 to 796 of the family's 1533-position model. The record is from RNAcentral.